RNAcentral lists this ribosomal RNA (518 nucleotides) under Dysponetus caecus. RNAcentral describes it as "partial 16S ribosomal RNA". It matches the Rfam family "Bacterial large subunit ribosomal RNA", at positions 1807 to 2608 of the family's 2925-position model. The record is from RNAcentral. Lineage: Eukaryota; Metazoa; Annelida; Polychaeta; Phyllodocida; Chrysopetalidae.
UCAAAAACAUUGCUUUAUGCUUAGCGAUAUAAAGUAACUCCUGCCCGGUGAGAUAUUAAACGGCCGCGGUAUCCUAACCGUGCAAAGGUAGCAUAAUAAUUUGCCUUGUAAUUUAAGGCUAGAAUGAAUGGAUUAACGAGAAAUAAGCUGUCUCAGAUAGUUUACAAAAAAUUAAAAUACUGGUGAAGAUGCCAGUGUAAAAAUAAAGGACAAAAAGACCCUAUAAAGCUUGACUGAAAAAUUAAAACACCCUUUUAAAUAAAGUAAAAAAAUAAUUAAGUUUUGUUGGGGCGACAAAGGAAUUUAUAAACCUCCUUAUAUAAAAAGAUUUUAAAUCAAAAAAAUUAAAACUAAAAAGUAUUAUAAUAAAAGCUACUUUAGGGAUAACAGGCUAAUCUUUCUAAAGAGUUCACAUUGACAGAAAGGAUUGGCACCUCGAUGUUGGCUUAGGGAGUCCCUCAGGCGCAGCAACUUGAGAAGGCUGGUUUGUUCAACCAUUAAACCCCUACGUGAUCUGA